GGCCUAACACAUGCAAGUCGAGCGGGCAUAGCAAUAUGUCAGCGGCAGACGGGUGAGUAACGCGUGGGAACGUACCUUUUGGUUCGGAACAACACAGGGAAACUUGUGCUAAUACCGGAUAAGCCCUUACGGGGAAAGAUUUAUCGCCGAAAGAUCGGCCCGCGUCUGAUUAGCUAGUUGGUGAGGUAACGGCUCACCAAGGCGACGAUCAGUAGCUGGUCUGAGAGGAUGAUCAGCCACAUUGGGACUGAGACACGGCCCAAACUCCUACGGGAGGCAGCAGUGGGGAAUAUUGGACAAUGGGCGCAAGCCUGAUCCAGCCAUGCCGCGUGAGUGAUGAAGGCCCUAGGGUUGUAAAGCUCUUUUGUGCGGGAAGAUAAUGACGGUACCGCAAGAAUAAGCCCCGGCUAACUUCGUGCCAGCAGCCGCGGUAAUACGAAGGGGGCUAGC
RNAcentral lists this ribosomal RNA (450 nucleotides) under uncultured Alphaproteobacteria bacterium. RNAcentral's name for it is "bacterial SSU rRNA". It matches the Rfam family "Bacterial small subunit ribosomal RNA", at positions 45 to 539 of the family's 1533-position model. The record is from RNAcentral. Lineage: Bacteria; Pseudomonadati; Pseudomonadota; Alphaproteobacteria.